RNAcentral lists this ribosomal RNA (31 nucleotides) under uncultured Dermocybe. RNAcentral describes it as "partial 28S ribosomal RNA". Lineage: Eukaryota; Fungi; Basidiomycota; Agaricomycetes; Agaricales; Cortinariaceae. The record is from RNAcentral.
GUGACCUCAAAUCAGGUAGGACUACCCGCUG